RNAcentral lists this ribosomal RNA (472 nucleotides) under uncultured organism. RNAcentral describes it as "partial 16S ribosomal RNA". It matches the Rfam family "Bacterial small subunit ribosomal RNA", at positions 332 to 797 of the family's 1533-position model. The record is from RNAcentral.
UACACUCCUGCGGGAGGCAGCAGUAGGGAAUCUUCCACAAUGGGUGCAAACCUGAUGGAGCAAUGCCGCGUGAGUGAAGAAGGUCUUCGGAUCGUAAAGCUCUGUUGUUAGAGAAGAACACGUGCUAGGUAACUACUAGCGCCUUGACGGUAUCUAACCAGAAAGUCACGGCUAACUACGUGCCAGCAGCCGCGGUAAUACGUAGGUGACAAGCGUUGUCCGGAUUUAUUGGGCGUAAAGGGAGCGCAGGCGGUCUGUUUAGUCUAAUGUGAAAGCCCACGGCUUAACCGUGGAACGGCAUUGGAAACUGACAGACUUGAAUGUAGAAGAGGAAAAUGGAAUUCCAAGUGUAGCGGUGGAAUGCGUAGAUAUUUGGAGGAACACCAGUGGCGAAGGCGAUUUUCUGGUCUAACAUUGACGCUGAGGCUCGAAAGCGUGGGGAGCGAACAGGAUUAGAAACCCUGGUAGUCCC